CCAAAGGCCCUCUUUAGGGCCACCAAUGCAAUACAUGUUUUUAUAU
Non-coding RNA from Strongyloides papillosus, 46 nucleotides. Lineage: Eukaryota; Metazoa; Nematoda; Chromadorea; Rhabditida; Strongyloididae. The record is from Rfam.